RNAcentral lists this ribosomal RNA (273 nucleotides) under uncultured prokaryote. RNAcentral's name for it is "partial 16S ribosomal RNA". It matches the Rfam family "Bacterial small subunit ribosomal RNA", at positions 524 to 796 of the family's 1533-position model. The record is from RNAcentral.
AACGUAGGAGGCAAGCGUUAUCCGGAUUUACUGGGCGUAAAGCGCGUGCAGGCGGUUUGGUAAGUUGGAUGUGAAAGCUCCCGGCUCAACUGGGAGAGGUCGUUCAAAACUACCAGACUUGAGGGCGGUAGAGGGAAGUGGAAUUCCGUGUGUAGUGGUGAAAUGCGUAGAUAUACGGAGGAACACCAGUGGCGAAAGCGGCUUCCUGGACCGAUCCUGACGCUCAGACGCGAAAGCUAGGGGAGCAAACGGGAUUAGAAACCCUUGUAGUCC